RNAcentral lists this non-coding RNA (28 nucleotides) under Mus musculus (house mouse). The record is from RNAcentral. Lineage: Eukaryota; Metazoa; Chordata; Mammalia; Rodentia; Muridae.
UGUCAAGGAUGUAUUAGGCACAGAAGUC